RNAcentral lists this long non-coding RNA (1312 nucleotides) under Triticum aestivum (bread wheat). Its description in RNAcentral is "long non-coding RNA (TAES_LNC004153)". Lineage: Eukaryota; Viridiplantae; Streptophyta; Magnoliopsida; Poales; Poaceae. The record is from RNAcentral.
UGACCAGCCCUCGCCACACGUGGAUUCCCCACUCGCCCAUCCCCCCAAAAUCCCCAACUGCAGGCACCACUGGCUCCGGCGCAAUUUCAAAGCCUCCUCCGCUCUCGAGAGAUGUGAAGGCCGCCGAUCUACCGGGUUAGUGCCGAGCCGCCUCUCAUCCCUCGCGUCGCCCCACAACUGCCGAGUCGUACCACGUAGGUAAAUCGAGGUUCUGCGAUGUGACCUAGAUCAUCUAUAGGCACUGCCACGCCCGUUUGAGCAUCCAUCUUUCCUACUGAUUCUAUAGGCGAAGGUCGUCCUGGUCCCUCCACGUGCCAGAGAUGCCCGAGCCUGUAUGUUGCGAUACCUGCAGGAGCACACAGUUGAGUAGUUCGAUCCAAAGAGGUGAAGAAGUUCAGGGAGAGACAUGGGUCUCUACUGGAGUAGAUAGAGAUAGAGGAUAGAUGAGAAAGAUGAUACGUUGACAGGUAAUCCCUCAUGCCUACUGCGUGCUCAACUGCAGUCUGUGGUAGCGGCCACCAGAGUUUUCUUCUGUUAAUCUCCAACACAACCAUCAAUUGACGUGCUGAUUGUAGCAUUGUUCUCAUGUAAGGAAGAAUCUUGUUAUUUCCUCAACUAGAUUUUGAAGUAUUUCACUAUUAUUGUUUCUGCAGGCAUACUGCAUUGAUCAUCGUGGCCACCACCACUUUUGGCCAUGUGACGGGCUACCUGCGAAUCUACAAACUAGGGCGACAAAUUGCAAUGCAGUUUUCUUGAUGAUAUGAUGAUUUAUUUGUGUUUGGUGUUGCCGAUUAUGUGCAUAUACUUGGAUCUAGUAUUGCUUAUUCCGACUGUGUGUCUAGAAAUCUAGGAGGUUUGGACAGCAAGCGAUUGUUUUUUCUUCCAUGCCACAUUUUCUGGGCAACUCAACAUAAAUACGAGUACAUCUUAUCCUUACAUUGUGUGUCGCCUUUACCCAUUGUUUAAACUUGCACUUCUAUAUAAUCAAAUUUCAUAGUUCUUCUCGACGCCCAUCAUCAUCAUGGCCCAAUCCUCAGCCACCCCAUUGCAAGAUGUGAUUACUGUGGUCAAACAGAUUGGUUCUCUUCCGAUCUCUUCUGAACAUUGGAGUAACAUAUCACCAUUUGGCCAGCUCUAUCUCUUCUGCACCUCUUCGUCCAUGGCAAAGGGAUGAAGCUAUUGGUGUUGAAAUGUGGAACAUAGGUCUGAAGUUGGCACCCACGCUCCAACGCAAAGUUUAGCUCUUACAUGGCUUUUGUUAUAGACGAUGUAUGACAGAAGCACUUUAUUAUAAAUGAUAAAUCCUGGCAGC